RNAcentral lists this small nuclear RNA (417 nucleotides) under Fukomys damarensis (Damara mole-rat). Its description in RNAcentral is "7SK RNA". The stretch from base 1 to 351 matches the Rfam family "7SK RNA". From Rfam's summary of the family: 7SK was discovered as an abundant small nuclear RNA in the mid-70s but a possible function has only recently been suggested. Two independent studies have found that 7SK RNA binds the CDK9/cyclin T complex (known as elongation factor P-TEFb). The record is from Rfam by way of RNAcentral. Lineage: Eukaryota; Metazoa; Chordata; Mammalia; Rodentia; Bathyergidae.
GGAUGUGAGGGUGACCUGGCUGUGACAUCUGUCACCCCACUGAUCACCAGGGUUGAUUUGGCUGAUCUGGCUGGCUAGGAAGGUAUCCCCUUCCUCCCUCACAGUUCCAUGUGUCCCUCCUGAAGCUGCUUAGUUAGUUGAAGAGGACAACCAACCAUGGGCCGGGGAUUUAGCUCAGUGGUGCUGCCACCUGCCUCACAAGUGCAAGGACCUGAGUUCAAUUCCCAGUACAAAAAAAAGGGACAAUUAUUUCCCCAUAGAGGAGGACUGUUUCCUCCAUCAAGGGUGUAUCAUCAGCAACUCUAUGAUUAAAACAAAACAAAAAUCUUCACAUAGAAAUACAUACUAUGUCAUGUAGGGUUUUUUUGAAAAAACAACAAAUACACUACAUUUUAAUCUCAUUAGAUAUUUAUAAAG